CAACUCUCAUCAACUCUCAUGCAACUCUUGUUCUCGUUUGACCAGGGCUUAAUUUUGAAAACACUUUUUUGCAACCUGACACUGCAGUCUGACAUUAAUUUACAACAUAUUUGUCGACUUCAUGUUUGCUGCAUGAUUUAUUUUUCUUCUGCAAAUAACACAGGCUGAUUAAGGCCUUUCAUCAUUCCAAUUUAAUCACGGCUUGUUUACACAUGUUUCGCCUCAUAAUACCCCCACAACAAACUUUAAAUCAAAUUUUGAACAGCAAUGUGGCAGUUUUGAAUAUGCUCAUGAGCAUGCCCAUAUAUGUACCAAAAUCCUGUAAUCUGCUCAUGAGCAUGCUUUAUGAGCAUACUGCAUGAUUUUCGUGUAUACAGGUAUGAAUAUAGCCUACAUAUUACAUAUACGUAUGAACAAAAUGCCAUUAGGUCAAAAGAUGUGCUUUUCUUUCCAGUUUUUGCUUAUAGAAUGAAAACUCACUUAAAAAUGAAGAAAAUACUGAAUUUUGGCAAAUUUCAUGUGCAAGUGUAAUUUGUACGAACAAGGCCAUGGCUAGAAAUCUAAUACAGUAUGGCGGAAAAGCAUGCAUGCAGAGCGCAAAUUAAAUAAAUUCAAAAUGGCGGCAAUGUAUAGAAUUGAUAGAGGAAAAACUAUAUUUCUGUUUUUUUGUUUUAUAACCUUACAAAUUCUCACAUGUGCACGUCUAAAACGUCAAUAUAUAACACAAAUAUUAACUAGAACAAAUAUCGCGACAAACUGACAAGGCUAAAUGAGUUCCCUAGCUCGAUAGCUUCUUACCUCUUAUUCCCCAUACAAGUGUCUAUUAAAUCCCAAUAAUUGGCCAAAGUUGGCCAAAGUAAGCCUUUAUUUUGGCAAUAAUCAGUUGGUUUGGCUGUAAUGUGCACGUCUAAAUACACUCGAGAAUAUUUAUUCUUUGUUUUGCGAAGCCUUUUGGGACGUAUCUUCGUCUUUAAGUAGGUUCCCAAACGCCGUAAAAAAGUGCGAUUUAAGUGCCGCAGAGUCGUUGUCAAUCGAUCGACCAAGCGCCGACAUAAACACUGAACACGACAUGAAAAUCGAAGCAAUACAAUGCUUUCUUGUCGCCAUUUUAGAACUGUUGUUAUGGUUUUCAUGGUGUUUACCGCUGCAACGUUUAUUUGAUCGUGGAUGCAGAAAUAAAAGCGCAAAUAAGCGGUAAAAUUUGAAAUUUGGCUUGGUAAAUAUACACUUUCUGUUGGGAAUCAAAUUUCGCAAUUUACGAAAUUCAUCAAUAAAGGUCAAUAAAGAGGCAUUUUACAUAUAAAUUAUUUCU
Paramuricea clavata is the source of this 1312-nucleotide non-coding RNA. The record is from the annotation of a GenBank genome assembly. Lineage: Eukaryota; Metazoa; Cnidaria; Anthozoa; Malacalcyonacea; Plexauridae.